RNAcentral lists this ribosomal RNA (433 nucleotides) under uncultured bacterium. Its description in RNAcentral is "partial 16S ribosomal RNA". It matches the Rfam family "Bacterial small subunit ribosomal RNA", at positions 29 to 507 of the family's 1533-position model. The record is from RNAcentral.
AACGAACGCUGGCGGCAUGCCUAACACAUGCAAGUCGAACGAGACCUUCGGGUCUAGUGGCGCACGGGUGCGUAACGCGUGGGAACCUGCCCUUAGGUUCGGAAUAACUCCCCGAAAUGGGUGCUAAUACCGGAUAAUGUCUUCGGACCAAAGAUUUAUCGCCUUUGGAUGGGCCCGCGUUGGAUUAGCUUGUUGGUAGGGUAAAAGCCUACCAAGGCGACGAUCCAUAGCUGGUCUGAGAGAAUGAGCAGCCACACUGAGACUGAGACACGGCCCAGACUACUACGGGAGGCAGCAGAGGGGAAUAUAGGACAAUGGGAGAAAGGCUGAACCAGCAAUGGCGCGUGAGUGAUGAAGGCCUUAGGGAUGUAAAGCUCUUUUACCCGGGAUGAUAAUGACAGUACCGAGAGAAUAAGCUCCGGCUAACUCCGUG